GACGAACGCUGGCGGCGUGCUUAACACAUGCAAGUCGAACGGCAAGGCCCUGCUUUCGUGGGGUGAUCGAGUGGCGAACGGGUGCGUAACACGUGAGUAACCUGACCUUGACUUUGGGAUAACUUCAGGAAACUGGGGCUACUACCGGAUCGGAGCUCCUGCUGCAUGGUGGGGGUUGGAAAGUUUCGGCGGUUGGGGUUGGAUUCGCGGCUUAUCAGCUUGUUGGUGGGGUAGUGGCUUACCAAGGCAUUGACGGAUAGCCGGCCUGGGAGGGUGACCGGCCACAUUGGGACUGAGAUACGGCCCAGACUCCUACGGGGGGCAGCAGUGGGGAAUAUGGCACAAUGGGCGGAAGCCUGUGGCAGCAACGCCGCGUGCGUGAUGACGGCCUUUGGGUUGUGAACCGCUGUCGCCUGUUACGAAGCGGGAGUGACGGUAAUGAGUAAAGAAGCACCGGCUAACUACGUG
RNAcentral lists this ribosomal RNA (468 nucleotides) under uncultured bacterium. RNAcentral's name for it is "partial 16S ribosomal RNA". It matches the Rfam family "Bacterial small subunit ribosomal RNA", at positions 28 to 507 of the family's 1533-position model. The record is from RNAcentral.